This 527-nucleotide ribosomal RNA is filed under the name Alternaria alternata. RNAcentral describes it as "eukaryotic LSU rRNA". It matches the Rfam family "Eukaryotic large subunit ribosomal RNA", at positions 109 to 651 of the family's 3401-position model. The record is from RNAcentral. Lineage: Eukaryota; Fungi; Ascomycota; Dothideomycetes; Pleosporales; Pleosporaceae.
UCAAAUUUGAAAUCUGGCUCUUUUAGAGUCCGAGUUGUAAUUUGCAGAGGGCGCUUUGGCUUUGGCAGCGGUCCAAGUUCCUUGGAACAGGACGUCACAGAGGGUGAGAAUCCCGUACGUGGUCGCUGGCUAUUGCCGUGUAAAGCCCCUUCGACGAGUCGAGUUGUUUGGGAAUGCAGCUCUAAAUGGGAGGUACAUUUCUUCUAAAGCUAAAUAUUGGCCAGAGACCGAUAGCGCACAAGUAGAGUGAUCGAAAGAUGAAAAGCACUUUGGAAAGAGAGUCAAACAGCACGUGAAAUUGUUGAAAGGGAAGCGCUUGCAGCCAGACUUGCUUACAGUUGCUCAUCCGGGUUUCUACCCGGUGCACUCUUCUGUAGGCAGGCCAGCAUCAGUUUGGGCGGUAGGAUAAAGGUCUCUGUCACGUACCUCCUUUCGGGGAGGCCUUAUAGGGGAGACGACAUACUACCAGCCUGGACUGAGGUCCGCGCAUCUGCUAGGAUGCUGGCGUAAUGGCUGUAAGCGGCCCG